AUUUAUAUAUGACAACUUGACUUGAAAGUGCUUGAAAGUUGAUAGUGGAAUUAUUGAUGGAAGAUUUGAAAAUUAGAUGGUAAAUAGAUAUCAUAUUAAAUAAUGAAGUCACGUUGCAUUUAUAUUGGCUGAUAACCUUGAUUUGAUAAAAAUUAGGCACCAUUCGGCUGAGAAAAUUUAGACAGUAUAGUAUAUAUCAGCGAAGCAUAAAACGACUUAAAUUUUUUGGUUUAACUGAUCAAGAUAUUUUAACGGAAGACAAACAAGUAUGGAAGGAAAAGAAAUAGAGUAACGAUGGCACAGCAUGCCGUGAGGAACAGCGUGGUAAGAGACAUCAGGUUGGAUGCUGC
Long non-coding RNA from Trachymyrmex septentrionalis, 350 nucleotides. RefSeq lists it as uncharacterized. The transcript has 3 exons. NCBI's taxonomy places the organism in Eukaryota, Metazoa, Arthropoda, Insecta, Hymenoptera, Formicidae. The record is from RefSeq and is a predicted model, not a curated record.